AGUACUCAGACCCAUGGUGUUCAAAGUACAGCUGCAUCCGUGCCCCCUAAAAGCUAUAAGAAAUGCACAUCCUUGGACCCCACACAAGACCUACUGACUGGGAAGGAUCCUUGUCCUUUGUCCUUUGUAGCGUGGUGGUAAAGCAUUUGCCUACAGUCAAAACCAGCGAGCCAGAACUGAGUGUCAAGUUCACUGUGUUCAACCGUGCACCCUCCUCAAUCCAGACAACAAAACAGCAACAGGUAAAUGUGUUCUUUUACCUUGAGUAAAACUAGAGAAACUAAUAAACGGAAUGUAAAUUU
Molecule: long non-coding RNA, 302 nt
Organism: Echinops telfairi (small Madagascar hedgehog)
Lineage: Eukaryota; Metazoa; Chordata; Mammalia; Afrosoricida; Tenrecidae
Exons: 2
Source: RefSeq, a predicted model, not a curated record